MicroRNA precursor from Gossypium arboreum, 145 nucleotides. It matches the Rfam family "MIR7502 microRNA precursor family". Lineage: Eukaryota; Viridiplantae; Streptophyta; Magnoliopsida; Malvales; Malvaceae. The record is from Rfam.
UGUUAAAAAUUUCAUCAUUUUCUGUCAUUAAAAACUGGUGUGGCUAAUUGAAUAACCUGACAGUUCCAUGUGGCAUGCUAUGUGUACCUAAUGCUGAUGUACAAGGACCAACUUUCAACUGUAGAAAUGGAUGAAAUUUUUAAUA